AGAAUAGGCGGAACCCAAAUACUUGAUGGCAUUUUUGAGCAGUUGCACUUGCCCUGGAUGAUCCAUCCCUGAACUUUGUGCCAUGAUAGAAAAUCAGCUGGAAUCUGAAGCUCUUGAUUUUGAGAAGAGAGGCCAGGAAACAGGCCACGAGUACCAACCACGGAAGCCAUGUGCGGUUGAACUACUGACCUGGUUCCCCGCACCCCAUGUGAACGGCUCUCUGUGCUGCUGGAAUCUAUUGAGGGUUCUAUACUUCUGUUUCUAGCAGCUUUAUUGAGUGGCUGCAACAACUCAGAUUCCAGCACGUGCAGAAGGGAUACAUCAUUGUGAGGCAGGUGAGUUGGGAUCCCAUUGUGGUUUUGCAAAUCCCUGAUGAUUAGUGAUGUUGAGCACCUCUUCUUGUGCCUGUUGGCCGUUUGUAUGCUGCCUCUGGAAGGAAAAAAUGACUAUUUUUUUUUAACCUAGGGAAGUUAGCUAUUUUUCAUUAAUUGAUUAAUCCUCAUGUGUAUAUGUUUUCUUUAAGAUUGUAUAAAUUUUUACAUUUACUAUU
Acinonyx jubatus (cheetah) is the source of this 550-nucleotide long non-coding RNA. RefSeq lists it as uncharacterized. NCBI's taxonomy places the organism in Eukaryota, Metazoa, Chordata, Mammalia, Carnivora, Felidae. The record is from RefSeq and is a predicted model, not a curated record. The transcript is spliced from 3 exons.